Molecule: long non-coding RNA, 1303 nt
Filed under: Felis catus (domestic cat)
Lineage: Eukaryota; Metazoa; Chordata; Mammalia; Carnivora; Felidae
Description: lncRNA (ENSFCAG00000046640.2)
Source: RNAcentral
AGCCGUUCCCUUUCUCAUACGCUCUUUAUCAACACAGUACAGUUUCCUGUACCCAUCAGUGAUGGGGAAGUGAUACAGCUGACAUUAUUACACGUGAGUAACCCAAAGUUAUCUUGUCUUAAUCUCCCGGGUCAUACUCUCUAACAUCGUUCAUAUUUUAAAUGAUUUGCAGGUUGUUGUUCUUUUAGAGAUCUAUUUUAUUUUCUUGCUCAGUUCCUGUUAAUCUGCUUAUCUCCAAUUUGCCGAAGACUUUGCUCUUUUUUCUUUUUCUUUCUUUCUUUCUUUUUUUUUUGCUCUUCGAGUCUGAGGACUUGACAAAUGCAAUGUUGGGGCAAUAGAGGAGAGACAGGCCUUAGGAUGUACUGUAUAAAUCACCAAAAUGUGAUGUACUCUACCUUCUCAGCAUAAACUGGAAAUUGAAAAAAAAAAAAUGCUGCAAAUAGAAUUGCUUCCUUUGGGCUUAAACCAGAUUGGCAGCAACAUAGAUUCUGCUGUGAGUUGAAGUCACUUUCUACUUUGGCACGACUUGGUCCAUGGGGAUGGUGGAGUCAUGAUUUAGCAGCAAGACUCUGGGAGCAGGCCAGCAUCCACAUCUGUUCUGAACUUAUGAUAUCCCCAUCACUUCUUCUGUGGGGUAGAUGGAAACACAGUCUUUCUUCUUCCUUCACUUUCCAAGGGACUUCUUUGGCUGAGAGAGGAAAUGAAAAGAUGUAACAUCGAAGAGAGCGGAGUAUUCUACGGAAGCAGGUGUGAGGCACUACCCAAGCAAAGACAAGAAUGAGGAGCCAGAGAAUUGAGAAGGAAGGCUGGAAUGGUGAGUGUUUUUAAGAGGAGGAUCGAAGAAGUUAGAGCAGCUGUCUUGGGGAAAAGGAAAGGAAAGGUUGGUGUUUGCUAAGGAAGAUGUUUAUGAUGAUUUGCUCUGUAUCGUGCAAUUAAAUUCAAUUUUUUGCUGCCUCUUCAAGAGACCCAGAGGUAAGAUCUACAUAACUCUUCAUUUGUCUUUGGAGCAGAAUUGCCUUCCUUCCUUAUAGACAUGACAACAUGAGAUACCUGCACAUGACAUGGUCCCGUUUUUUUUAGGUUCGAUUUAAAAGCUAGGGAGAGCUACGUCAAUUGCAGGCAUCACUCAUAAUGUUAUUUGAAAACAGAAAAACAGACCCUUUCUUAUGUAUCAGCUUCUCCUCAUAGAUUUUCUUUAAUAUUUUGAACAAUUCCUCGGAUAUAGAUUUUCCCCCCAUCUAACAUUAUGCCUUUGAAAAGCUGGGCAAUCUUAUGUUGAGACGCUGCAGGUCUGCUUUUAGGA